CGUGAAGACGGAGGGCUUGUGGUAGUAGUUGCAGCCGAGGCGAGACCCGAAGCUGACGAUGCCGUGCACCUGCCACCGGCCGUCAGACGCCUGACAGUUCAGUGGCCCGCCAGAGUCUCCCUGAGGAAGGCCAGAGUUAUAGGCAGGUAAAGGGAGAGGAAGGGGCUGCCCAUUGGAACCAUUGUUCUCAAUGCAUUUCUAUUGUUCUGCUGCAGGUCACUGUCCUCGGAAGCUGACCCUUGUGGUCAUAGCCCAAGGUGGUACCAUAAUUCCAACAAGAGCCAACACUUAUUCUUCCUGUGUGGCCAGAGCUGAGCUAAGCAUGUUCUAUGCCUCAUCUCAUUAAUCCUCACAAAAUCCUAUGAGAUGAGGAAACUGAGGUUCGGAAGUGGCUUGCCCAAGGUUUCACCGUGACUGACAGAGCUGGGCCGAAAAGCCAAGCAUUUGGA
RNAcentral lists this long non-coding RNA (449 nucleotides) under Homo sapiens (human). RNAcentral describes it as "HSALNT0290412". The record is from RNAcentral. Lineage: Eukaryota; Metazoa; Chordata; Mammalia; Primates; Hominidae.